This is a long non-coding RNA of Mus pahari (shrew mouse), 1528 nucleotides long. RefSeq lists it as uncharacterized. The transcript is spliced from 2 exons. NCBI's taxonomy places the organism in Eukaryota, Metazoa, Chordata, Mammalia, Rodentia, Muridae. The record is from RefSeq and is a predicted model, not a curated record.
UAUAUAACCCCAGCUGGCCUGCAGCUCACUAUGUAGACCAGGCUGUCCUCUAAUGGCUCAGAAAUGAAGAGAAUCUAUUUUUGCAGAAGGCCCCGGUUCAGUACCCAGCACCCACAUCAUGCCUCACAACCAUUGGUAACUCUAAUUACCCAUGGUGCCUUCAUCUAAACUCCAAGAGCACUUGGCAUGAAGGUGGUGCACAGACAUACAUAGAGGCAAAACUCAUAAAUACAAGGUGGAGUGUGGGCGGGGAGGUCUGUUUUAUAUGUAAAUUACUACUAGCCAGGAAAUAUACCCUUAUCAUUCCAGAGAUUUUAAAGGCUAAAGCAGAAGGAUUUCAAGUUCCAGCCGGAUUCCUUAGGGAGCAUUUGCCUCCAUAAAAUAAGGAAAGGGAUGAGUCUACAAUUCUUACCACAGGACUGAAAAUCUAAAUUACAGGGCAAUUCAAAGCCCUUGCAGUACUAUCUGGUUCCAGACAUGGAUGAUGAGGAAGGAGAGGCAGAAGAUGAUGAUGAUGACGAUGAAGAGAAGGAGGGGUUGGAAGAUAUUGAUGAAGAAGGAGAUGAGGAUGAAGGUGAAGAGGAUGACGAUGAGGAUGAAGGGGAGGAAGGAGAGGAGGAUGAAGACGAGGAUGACUAGCACAGAAGAUUGAUGGAUUCCAACCUUCUUUUUUAUUUUCUUUUUCUUUUUAAUUUUCCCCAGUCCCUGGGAGCAAGUUGCAGCCCUCCCUCCCUGUCCCCUGUGCUCAGUCGCCCUCUUUAGAGGUCUCAACUUCAUGGUUCUCAAUUAAUUUUGGGGGAAAAUAUCUUGAGCAAAAUACAACAGGAAAAGAAUCUCCGUUUCUGUUCUAAAUUCAUUUUUUAUCCUUUCUUGUCUCAAAUUUGUGGAUUCAAUAUCACCACCACCAUGCUCUGUGGGAAAAAAGAAAAGCUCCCCAGUUCCCUUGGCACUGCUGGAGGGUGCUAGGCCCCUGUGUAGUCGUUUAUAGAAGUCUAGCUUUUUUUCUUUUCUCUGUAUAUUGGGCUCAGAGAUUACACUGUGUCUUUAUGUGAAUACGGACAGUUAGCAUUUACCAACAUUUAUCUGUCUACUUCCUCUUGUUUAAUUAAAAGAAAAGAAAAAAGAAAAAAAGGGGGGUAUAGACUGUGAGCAAGGGUGGGUUUGAGGUGUCUGGGGUAGGUGGGCAUCUGACAACANGGCUUCUCCUUUGGCAUGUUUAAUUGUGUGGUUUAACAGACAUCCUUGCAAUUUAAGGUGACACUUAAAAUAAAAUUCUCUCCUGAUGAUGACUUGAGCCCUGACACUCAAUGAGAGAAUCAGCAGAACCUGUACGGUUUAUUUGGAGUUGACAUUCUCUGUUGUAACUUUAUUUUAAAUUUUUUCUUUUUUUUUCUUUCUGUUUCUUUUUUCUUUUUCUUUUUCUUUUUUUUUUUUUUUUUUGGUUUUCACUGGAAGGAAAAAGAUGCUCAUUUUAAAUGUUGAAGUGUACAAGUUGCUUUGUUACAAUAAAAUCAAUGUGUACACAAAG